GGAAUAUUGGACAAUGGGCGCAAGCCUGAUCCAGCCAUGCCGCGUGCAGGAUGACGGUCCUAUGGAUUGUAAACUGCUUUUGCACAGGAAGAAACAUCCCGACGUGUCGGGACUUGACGGUACUGUGAGAAUAAGGAUCGGCUAACUCCGUGCCAGCAGCCGCGGUAAUACGGAGGAUCCAAGCGUUAUCCGGAAUCAUUGGGUUUAAAGGGUCCGUAGGCGGUUUAGUAAGUCAGUGGUGAAAGCCCAUCGCUCAACGGUGGAACGGCCAUUGAUACUGCUAAACUUGAAUUAUUAGGAAGUAACUAGAAUAUGUAGUGUAGCGGUGAAAUGCUUAGAGAUUACAUGGAAUACCAAUUGCGAAGGCAGGUUACUACUAAUGGAUUGACGCUGAUGGACGAAAGCGUGGGUAGCGAACAGGAUUAGAUACCCGGG
This 435-nucleotide ribosomal RNA is filed under the name uncultured Flavobacterium sp. RNAcentral describes it as "bacterial SSU rRNA". It matches the Rfam family "Bacterial small subunit ribosomal RNA", at positions 358 to 790 of the family's 1533-position model. Lineage: Bacteria; Pseudomonadati; Bacteroidota; Flavobacteriia; Flavobacteriales; Flavobacteriaceae. The record is from RNAcentral.